GACGAACGCUGGCGGCGUGCUUAACACAUGCAAGUCGAACGGAAAGGCCCUGCUUUUGUGGGGUGCUCGAGUGGCGAACGGGUGAGUAACACGUGAGUAACCUGCCCUUGACUUUGGGAUAACUUCAGGAAACUGGGGCUAAUACCGGAUAGGAGCUCCUGCUGCAUGGUGGGGGUUGGAAAGUUUCGGCGGUUGGGGAUGGACUCGCGGCUUAUCAGCUUGUUGGUGGGGUAGUGGCUUACCAAGGCUUUGACGGGUAGCCGGCCUGAGAGGGUGACCGGCCACAUUGGAACUGAGAUACGGCCCAGACUCCUACGGGAGGCAGCAGUGGGGAAUAUUGCACAAUGGGCGGAAGCCUGAUGCAGCAACGCCGCGUGCGGGAUGACGGCCUUCGGGUUGUAAACCGCUUUCGCCUGUGACGAAGCGUGAGUGACGGUAAUGGGUAAAGAAGCACCGGCUAACUACGUGCCAGCAGCCGCGGUGAUACGUAGGGUGCGAGCGUUGUCCGGAUUUAUUGGGCGUAAAGGGCUCGUAGGUGGUUGAUCGCGUCGGAAGUGUAAUCUUGGGGCUUAACCCUGAGCGUGCUUUCGAUACGGGUUGACUUGAGGAAGGUAGGGGAGAAUGGAAUUCCUGGUGGAGCGGUGGAAUGCGCAGAUAUCAGGAGGAACACCAGUGGCGAAGGCGGUUCUCUGGGCCUUUCCUGACGCUGAGGAGCGAAAGCGUGGGGAGCGAACAGGCUUAGAUACCCUGGUAGUCCACGCUGUAAACGGUGGGUACUAGGUGUGGGGUCCAUUCCACGGGUUCCGUGCCGUAGCUAACGCUUUAAGUACCCCGCCUGGGGAGUACGGCCGCAAGGCUAAAACUCAAAGGAAUUGACGGGGCCCCGCACAAGCGGCGGAGCAUGCGGAUUAAUUCGAUGCAACGCGUAGAACCUUACCUGGGUUUGACAUGGAUCGGGAGUGCUCAGAGAUGGGUGUGCCUCUUUUGGGGUCGGUUCACAGGUGGUGCAUGGCUGUCGUCAGCUAGUGUCGUGAGAUGUUGGGUUAAGUCCCGCAACGAGCGCAACCCUUGUUCACUGUUGCCAGCACGUUAUGGUGGGGACUCAGUGGAGACCGCCGGGGUCAACUCGGAGGAAGGUGGGGAUGACGUCAAGUCAUCAUGCCCCUUAUGUCCAGGGCUUCACGCAUGCUACAAUGGCUGGUACAGAGAGUGGCGAGCCUGUGAGGGUGAGCGAAUCUCGGAAAGCCGGUCUCAGUUCGGAUUGGGGUCUGCAACUCGACCUCAUGAAGUCGGAGUCGCUAGUAAUCGCAGAUCAGCAACGCUGCGGUGAAUACGUUCCCGGG
RNAcentral lists this ribosomal RNA (1343 nucleotides) under uncultured bacterium. Its description in RNAcentral is "16S ribosomal RNA". It matches the Rfam family "Bacterial small subunit ribosomal RNA", at positions 28 to 1378 of the family's 1533-position model. The record is from RNAcentral.